GACGAACGCUGGCGGCGUGCCUAAUACAUGCAAGUAGAACGCUGAAGGAGGAGCUUGCUCUUCUGGAUGAGUUGCGAACGGGUGAGUAACGCGUAGGUAACCUGCCUGGUAGCGGGGGAUAACUAUUGGAAACGAUAGCUAAUACCGCAUAACAGUAGAUGUUGCAUGACAUUUACCUAAAAGGUGCAAUUGCAUCACUACCAGAUGGACCUGCGUUGUAUUAGCUAGUUGGUGGGGUAACGGCUCACCAAGGCGACGAUACAUAGCCGACCUGAGAGGGUGAUCGGCCACACUGGGACUGAGACACGGCCCAGACUCCUACGGGAGGCAGCAGUAGGGAAUCUUCGGCAAUGGACGGAAGUCUGACCGAGCAACGCCGCGUGAGUGAAGAAGGUUUUCGGAUCGUAAAGCUCUGUUGUAAGAGAAGAACGAGUGUGAGAGUGGAAAGUUCACACUGUGACGGUAUCUUACCAGAAAGGGACGGCUAACUACGUG
RNAcentral lists this ribosomal RNA (495 nucleotides) under uncultured bacterium. RNAcentral's name for it is "partial 16S ribosomal RNA". It matches the Rfam family "Bacterial small subunit ribosomal RNA", at positions 28 to 507 of the family's 1533-position model. The record is from RNAcentral.